This 497-nucleotide ribosomal RNA is filed under the name uncultured bacterium. Its description in RNAcentral is "partial 16S ribosomal RNA". It matches the Rfam family "Bacterial small subunit ribosomal RNA", at positions 28 to 507 of the family's 1533-position model. The record is from RNAcentral.
GAUGAACGCUGGCGGCGUGCCUAAUACAUGCAAGUCGAGCGAACAGACGAGGAGCUUGCUCCUCUGACGUUAGCGGCGGACGGGUGAGUAACACGUGGAUAACCUACCUAUAAGACUGGGAUAACUUCGGGAAACCGGAGCUAAUACCGGAUAAUAUAUUGAACCGCAUGGUUCAAUAGUGAAAGACGGUUUUGCUGUCACUUAUCGAUGGAUCCGCGCCGCAUUAGCUAGUUGGUAAGGUAACGGCUUACCAAGGCAACGAUGCGUAGCCGACCUGGGAGGGUGAUCGGCCACACUGGAACUGAGACACGGUCAAGACUCCUACGGGAGGCAGCAGUAGGGAAUCUUCCGCAAUGGGCGAAAGCUUGACGGAGCAACGCCGCGUGAGUGAUGAAGGUCUUCGGAUCGUUAAACUCUGUUAUUAGGGAAGAACAAAUGUGUAAGUAACUAUGCACGUCUUGACGGUACCUAAUCAGAAAGCCACGGCUAACUACGUG